UCGUACGUCUCUUUGUCUCACAGUCUGUUUCCUCUUGUUGAUUGGGUCUGAAAAGAGGAACUCAAUUUUUUGUUUGUGAGUUGUAAGCAGCAACACUUCUUCCAAUUUCUAAUUCCAAUUUCUAAUCUUCUACCCAUCCAGAUGAUCAGGUGCCUUCUUCCAUGCCUUGUUUUUCAUUAUUUAUUUAUUUAAUCAGCAGCGUUCUCAAUUUGUUUUAUCACUAUCUCAUAUGUUUGUG
Molecule: long non-coding RNA, 238 nt
Filed under: Hordeum vulgare
Lineage: Eukaryota; Viridiplantae; Streptophyta; Magnoliopsida; Poales; Poaceae
Description: long non-coding RNA (HVUL_LNC010647)
Source: RNAcentral